RNAcentral lists this long non-coding RNA (712 nucleotides) under Ananas comosus (pineapple). RNAcentral's name for it is "long non-coding RNA (ACOM_LNC018731)". Lineage: Eukaryota; Viridiplantae; Streptophyta; Magnoliopsida; Poales; Bromeliaceae. The record is from RNAcentral.
UAAUUAAGCAUUUAUUUUGGCCUAGUAUCUAAAUUUUUUUUUAUUUUAAGAAACUUAAACACACGUACCAUCCCUAGCGCAAGUGGCAAAGGGCUUGAUGCUUGGUAUUCGAGGUUCUAAAUUCGAGUCCUAGUUGAUUCACAUUUUCAGCUGAAGUUUAUUUCUAAAUAAAAUAAAUGAAGCAGGUAGCAUACUUUAAAAUUUUCUACUUUUUACAACUACAGAAAGUUAUAAAAUAGAACAGUACUUUUACAGGGAGCUCCGACAGGGGGCGGAGAACAGAGAAACCUUUCCCCACAUAGAGAUGUUUUGCUUGAUAGAGUAGGUUUACGAUCGUGUUAGUUCACAAUUGUUAGGCUAGCAAUGCUCUAUCCUAAUUAAAUCCCUACUCUAUUGGUCAAGACAAGUCAAAGGGGGUGUUGGUCCCCUCUUAACCCAAUUUAUUCCAUUUGAUAUGUACAUGUAACUAGAAUUUAAUUUUAAUAUAUAAUAAUAAUAUCCACAGCUAUUGUACCUCUGAGAAAGGUUCGGAAUCAAAGUAGACCCCCAUCAAAAAUAUUCAAAUGCAUUUAUUUAUGAGAUUUAAGCACGGAUUGACUGUACGUGCGGUCCCGAGCCGGUCGUGCCGUACUGUGCCAAAGUUGUGCCUACAUGUUUUUCAAUAUGUUUGAGCUCUUUUAGAGCUAUUUCGAGAUAAAAAGGUUAUAAAAUA